GACGAACGCUGGCGGCGUGCUUAACACAUGCAAGUCGAACGGAAAGGCCCUGCUUUUGUGGGGUGCUCGAGUGGCGAACGGGUGAGUAACACGUGAGUAACCUGCCCUUGACUUUGGGAUAACUUCAGGAAACUGGGGCUAAUACCGGAUAGGAGCUCCUGCUGCAUGGUGGGGGUUGGAAAGUUUCGGCGGUUGGGGAUGGACUCGCGGCUUAGCAGCUUGUUGGAUGGGUAGUGGCUUACCAAGGCUUUGACGGGUAGCCGGCCUGAGAGGGUGACCGGCCACAUUGGGACUGAGAUACGGCACAGACUCCUACGGGAGGCAGCAGUGGGGAAUAUUGCACAAUGGGCUGAAGCCUGAUGCAGCAACGCCGCGUGCGGGAUGACGGCCUUCGGGUUGUAAACCGCUUUCGCCUGUGACGAAGCGUGAGUGACGGUAAUGGGUAAAGAAGCACCGGCUAACUACGUG
This 468-nucleotide ribosomal RNA is filed under the name uncultured bacterium. RNAcentral describes it as "partial 16S ribosomal RNA". It matches the Rfam family "Bacterial small subunit ribosomal RNA", at positions 28 to 507 of the family's 1533-position model. The record is from RNAcentral.